GCCAGAUCUUAUAAGCCUCAAUUUCCUUCAGAAAGCCUCUUUCCAAUCUGGGAGAUUAAUUAAAGGAUGGAGCCAGUUCCAGCCACAGGCUGCACCAACACCCAUGGAAGGGGAUUGGAUGGUGAAGGAUGGGGAUUGUCAUGCUGGACCCAGAAUCCCCAAAAUAACUUUUCAGGAUAUGCCAGAUUCAGUGUGGCAUGCCACACUGAAUCUGCCACAGAACCUGAAUCCUGUGGCAGAAUCUCCAGCAUGCCACCAUGUUACCACUGGACUAUCUGGCUGCUACAAUUAAACUAUUGUAGAAAUGUUAAAAGAAAAUAGUCUGAGAUUAUUUAAGACACAGUUGAAGGCUGUUAUUUGUCAAUUGUUGAUAGGUGAAG
RNAcentral lists this long non-coding RNA (380 nucleotides) under Androctonus crassicauda. The record is from RNAcentral. Lineage: Eukaryota; Metazoa; Arthropoda; Arachnida; Scorpiones; Buthidae.